This 371-nucleotide unclassified non-coding RNA is filed under the name Hevea brasiliensis (rubber tree). The record is from RNAcentral. Lineage: Eukaryota; Viridiplantae; Streptophyta; Magnoliopsida; Malpighiales; Euphorbiaceae.
ACUAUAUAUAAUGAAUAGUUUUCAGUUUUCACGGGAGCUCUGCCCUCCUGAUUGGACCCAUACAAAUUCUCUCUUCCAACUCUAUCAGGCAACCAUAGGUUUAAAGAGUGAAUGAGGGAGAGGGAUACGUGUAAUUGAUAUUUCAAGUUUAAAGAAUUAUCUAACAACAAAACCAAAGCUGAAGAUUGAAGAAGCUGUUGCUGCUGCCUGUAAAGCAUUCAUGAAUUCUUACUGAUUUUCGGGGAUCUUUUUUUAGCUCUCGUUCAUCACUCUAGUAGCAUUCCUCUUGUGCCCAUUUAAGGUUAGAAAAUGACUAGGCCUCUGCAUCGAGUCAUAUCAGGGAUGCGGAUCUCAGGGAACAACCACGAUUU